GGUGGCCAUGGCAGCAGCGGAAUGAGAAGGGGAUGGCAUCACAGCUGGGGCCUGGAGGGGCACGAGCCUUGCUGGUACCAGUAAGAGACUGAAGCCCACCUCAUGCCUCCACAGGGAGUGUCCUAGCAGCAGCUUGCUUCAGGAAUCAUUAGGAAAUCGGUGUUACCUUUCCUGUACAACUAUGCCACUUUCUGGAGGCUCCGAGUCAAUGGAGCAUCCUCCAGAGGGAGUGCCCCAGGCAGCAGGGAACAGAGCUGUGCUCUGGGCAUCAACACUUCCCUGGAAAAAGGAGAGAUUGUGUCUGUGGAGAUGGCAGAGCAGCACUGGUACAGCCUGUGAGCAUGGAGAGGCCCAGGGGCACUCAGCUACCAAGGCUGAAGCCCAGGGAGCAGACCCAUGAGCACACUGCAUGGUUGAUGGCCAGCAGUGCUUGGGAGAGCCUCCUCUGUCUGGAUGCCUUCUGAUGUGACAGAGAAUGACCACAAUCAUUAUGGCCAAGGAACUAUCAGUGUGGCUGCAAAGCAAGGUCUGGCACGGCUGCACCGGAAACUGCAUCCAUAAGCAAAAAACAGGGCAGCACAGCAGCUUUCAGUACCCACUGCAGCACCACACAGCCUAAUCUGAUCUGAGAGCUGCAGGCAAAACAGUAUUGGACAGCCCAAACAGCAGGAAGCCCCAGAAGAAGUGGUUUCCAAUGCAGAUCGCAGGAGAUGCAAGCAGCUCUGCUUUGUGCAGCAGCUGCAGAGAGAAUUGCAGAUAUGCUGGCUGCCCUUGCAGGGCACCAGCUGCCAGUGAACAAAGUGGCCACGCAAGCUGCCAGGAAAGAUCAGACUGCUGCAGCCAGGCACUACAAAGGCAUCUGGCAGCAGCACAGAGCUCUGUGACUCCCUGCAGGAGACAAGCUACAGUUUGCUCCAAGAGGUCCUGUUGACAGACAACACUUCCAAGAAGCUUGAAGGCCAACCGUUUAACAACAGCACUGAGUUUUACGAUGCUUUUGUGGCAUCUUUCAAACACAGCGAGCAGGAGACAUGUUCUAGCUGUUUCUUGCCACUCCCAUUAAAACAGGCAACAAAGCU
Molecule: long non-coding RNA, 1079 nt
Organism: Gallus gallus (chicken)
Lineage: Eukaryota; Metazoa; Chordata; Aves; Galliformes; Phasianidae
Exons: 2
Source: RefSeq, a predicted model, not a curated record